This 314-nucleotide unclassified non-coding RNA is filed under the name uncultured Tomentella. RNAcentral's name for it is "sequence contains ITS2". Lineage: Eukaryota; Fungi; Basidiomycota; Agaricomycetes; Thelephorales; Thelephoraceae. The record is from RNAcentral.
AACGCACCUUGCGCCCCUUGGCUAUUCCGAGGGGCAUGCCUGUUUGAGUAUCAUGAACACCUCAACUCUCAUGGUUUGCCGUGAUGAGCUUGGACUCUGGGGGUUUUGCUGGCCUGCGGUCGGCUCCCCUCAAAUGAAUCAGCCUCCCAGUGUUUGGUGGCAUCACGGGUGUGAUAAAUAUCUACGCUCGCAGUUGUCCGCCAGGUAACCUUUGGUAACAAAGGUUCGCUGGAGCUCACAGAUGUCUCUCCUCAGCGAGGACAGCUUUUUGAACGUUCGAUCUCAAAUCAGGUAGGACUACCCGCUGAACUUAA